GAUGAACGCUGGCGGCGUGCCUAAUACAUGCAAGUCGAGCGAACGGACGAGAAGCUUGCUUCUCUGAUGUUAGCGGCGGACGGGUGAGUAACACGUGGAUAACCAACCUAUAAGACUGGGAUAACUUCGGGAAACCGGAGCUAAUACCGGAUGAUAUUUUGAACCGCAUGGUUCAAAAGUGAAAGACGGUCUUGCUGUCACUUAUAGAUGGAUCCGCGCUGCAUUAGCUAGUUGGUAAGGUAACGGCUUACCAAGGCAACGAUGCAUAGCCGACCUGAGAGGGUGAUCGGCCACACUGGAACUGAGACACGGUCCAGACUCCUACGGGAGGCAGCAGUAGGGAAUCUUCCGCAAUGGGCGAAAGCCUGACGGAGCAACGCCGCGUGAGUGAUGAAGGUCUUCGGAUCGUAAAACUCUGUUAUUAGGGAAGAACAUAUGUGUAAGUAACUGUGCACAUCUUGACGGUACCUAAUCAGAAAGCCACGGCUAACUACGUGCCAGCAGCCGCGGUAAUACGUAGGUGGCAAGCGUUAUCCGGAAUUAUUGGGCGUAAAGCGCGCGUAGGCGGUUUUUUAAGUCUGAUGUGAAAGCCCACGGCUCAACCGUGGAGGGUCAUUGGAAACUGGAAAACUUGAGUGCAGAAGAGGAAAGUGGAAUUCCAUGUGUAGCGGUGAAAUGCGCAGAGAUAUGGAGGAACACCAGUGGCGAAGGCGACUUUCUGGUCUGUAACUGACGCUGAUGUGCGAAAGCGUGGGGAUCAAACAGGAUUAGAUACCCUGGUAGUCCACGCCGUAAACGAUGAGUGCUAAGUGUUAGGGGGUUUCCGCCCCUUAGUGCUGCAGCUAACGCAUUAAGCACUCCGCCUGGGGAGUACGACCGCAAGGUUGAGACUCAAAGGAAUUGACGGGGACCCGCACAAGCGGUGGAGCAUGUGGUUUAAUUCGAAGCAACGCGAAGAACCUUACCAAAUCUUGACAUCCUUUGACAACUCUAGAGAUAGAGCCUUCCCCUUCGGGGGACAAAGUGACAGGUGGUGCAUGGUUGUCGUCAGCUCGUGUCGUGAGAUGUUGGGUUAAGUCCCGCAACGAGCGCAACCCUUAAGCUUAGUUGCCAUCAUUAAGUUGGGCACUCUAAGUUGACUGCCGGUGACAAACCGGAGGAAGGUGGGGAUGACGUCAAAUCAUCAUGCCCCUUAUGAUUUGGGCUACACACGUGCUACAAUGGACAAUACAAAGGGCAGCGAAACCGCGAGGUCAAGCAAAUCCCAUAAAGUUGUUCUCAGUUCGGAUUGUAGUCUGCAACUCGACUACAUGAAGCUGGAAUCGCUAGUAAUCGUAGAUCAGCAUGCUACGGUGAAUACGUUCCCGGGUCU
RNAcentral lists this ribosomal RNA (1372 nucleotides) under uncultured bacterium. Its description in RNAcentral is "bacterial SSU rRNA". It matches the Rfam family "Bacterial small subunit ribosomal RNA", at positions 28 to 1381 of the family's 1533-position model. The record is from RNAcentral.